UACGUAGGGCGCAAGCGUUAUCCGGAAUUAUUGGGCGUAAAGAGCUCGUAGGCGGUUUGUCGCGUCUGCUGUGAAAACUCGGGGCUUAACCCCGGGCCUGCAGUGGGUACGGGCAGACUAGAGUGCGGUAGGGGAGACUGGAAUUCCUGGUGUAGCGGUGAAAUGCGCAGAUAUCAGGAGGAACACCGGUGGCGAAGGCGGGUCUCUGGGCCGUAACUGACGCUGAGGAGCGAAAGCGUGGGGAGCAAACAGG
RNAcentral lists this ribosomal RNA (253 nucleotides) under uncultured bacterium. Its description in RNAcentral is "partial 16S ribosomal RNA". It matches the Rfam family "Bacterial small subunit ribosomal RNA", at positions 524 to 776 of the family's 1533-position model. The record is from RNAcentral.